GACGAACGCUGGCGGCGUGCCUAAUACAUGCAAGUAGAACGCAGUUGCGAACGGGUGAGUAACGCGUAGGUAACUGCCUCAUAGCGGGGGAUAACUAUUGGAAACGAUAGCUAAUACCGCAUACUGUGAGAUGGACAUGCGUUGUAUUAGGUAGUUGGUGAGGUAAAGGCUCACCAAGGCGACGAUACAUAGCCGACCUGGGAGGGUUGUCGGCCCAACUGGGACUGAGACAAGGCCCCAGCUCCCACGGGAGGCAGCCGUAGGGAAUCAUCGGCAAUGGAGGGAAGGCUGACCGAGCAACGCCGCGGGAGUGAAGAAGGUUUUCGGAACGUUAAGCUCUGUUGUUAGAGAAGCGGUAACUAAACAGAAAGGGACGGCUAACUACGUGCCAGCAGCCGCGGUAAUUC
This 407-nucleotide ribosomal RNA is filed under the name uncultured bacterium. RNAcentral's name for it is "partial 16S ribosomal RNA". It matches the Rfam family "Bacterial small subunit ribosomal RNA", at positions 28 to 526 of the family's 1533-position model. The record is from RNAcentral.